AUGACAUGCCCUACUGCUACAGAGAGGAAUCCUAAUUCGUUGGAGCUGGAGCAUCUGUGCAACAAGAAGUGGCCACAACUCUCGGGAAAGAGCAGAGAAGGCCGAGACCUGGCGAGCUGGAUGAUAUCCCUAUUUCAGGUUUUAUCAAAGGAUGACCUCUCUUUAUACAUUAGAAUAUUAUAUGAUUUGUGGCAGGAGAGGAAUGCUGCCUCAAGAGGUGAACCUGUGCAAAAUCCGAAGAAAGUGGCCAAAAGAGUUUGUUCCCUUGCUGGUGAAUGGAAUCAGUUUAAAUCGGUACCAGCUUCCUCAAGUGUAUGUGCUAUUGAGAGAUGGUUUCCUCCGCCUCACGGCUGGGUGAAGGUAAAUGUGGACGGAGGGCUUAAUAUUGGUGGUGGAGCUGGCAGAGCAGGAGUAAUUAUCAGGAGGAUUGACGGCUCCUUUGUUGCAGGAAAAGCUCCGGGCCCCCUUAUGUGUGUGAUCCAGCGCUUGCAGAGCUGUUGGCGGCGAAAGGAGUCAUGUUGCGACUCAACUAGAUAA
Molecule: ribosomal RNA, 537 nt
Filed under: Triticum aestivum (bread wheat)
Lineage: Eukaryota; Viridiplantae; Streptophyta; Magnoliopsida; Poales; Poaceae
Description: partial small subunit ribosomal RNA
Source: RNAcentral